RNAcentral lists this long non-coding RNA (950 nucleotides) under Theobroma cacao (cacao). RNAcentral describes it as "long non-coding RNA (TCAC_LNC003390)". The record is from RNAcentral. Lineage: Eukaryota; Viridiplantae; Streptophyta; Magnoliopsida; Malvales; Malvaceae.
UUUGGGAACAAUCAACAAAGGGUAAUACAUUUAGAAAAAAAAUCAAGGAAAACAUUAAAAUCUUCAGAUCUUAAGUCUAGGUUGUCUUCCAUUAUUCUGAUGCCUUAUCUUGGCAAUCAUGGUCCUCGAAGAAAUCAAAGACUUUCAAGAAUGUUCUUACUUCUAUAAGAGUAGGGGAAGUCAUCUUAACAAAGGCAUUGUUAGCUUCAACAUUGGUCCUAGCAAUAGAAUUCGCAAUGGCGUGAGUCUCAACAAGCUUGCCUUUUAUCCUUUGGGGAUGCUUGGUGUAGAUCAACAAAGUGCUUUAGUAUACGAUAGGUUCGCGACUAAUGUCCAACCAUGUUACAAUGAUGGUAGAUACUUUCAUCAUGUUUCUUUAGGAGUUUCUUGCCCUUACCCUGAUUCGAGCCAAGGUUGGAUUGCUUAGGGCGAUUAAGUCUUCCGCCACCCCUACGUGGGUUGUCACGACCCGAAACUCCCAUCGGGCCCGUGACAACCGUCAUGACGUCUCAAUAGGCACUCAUUACCCCGAAUGUCGAUCGAAACCCCGCAAGGCUUAGCAUCAGCUUCCUUAUCUCCCCGGUGAGCGAUAGUUAUUAAAUCUCACAUUUCAAGAAAUCAUAAGUCGUUUCCAAAUCAAAACAAUAAAAUAUUAUUUUCUGGCUCACAGGGGCAUUUUCGUUAUUUUUCUUCAAAAACACCGAAACUCGCCAAAAACAUGGUGUAAAAGAUAAAUAUGUUCAUACAUACUUUAAAUCAGAUAACUGAAGUAUAAAAUUACUUUUACAGUGACACGUGGGCCCCCAACUGACCAAGAAGGUGUAGGGCUACGAACCCUUACUUUCUAGGAUGCAACUCCGAGAUUAAUUCUCGUCUUAAUCAACUAUCAAUAAACUGUUCUGAGCCUGAAAAAUGGAUAGGAAGAGGGGUGAGAUUAUGAUUACAUAAUC